CCUACGGGAGGCAGCAGUGGGGAAUUUUGGACAAUGGGCGCAAGCCUGAUCCAGCAAUGCCGCGUGAGUGAAGAAGGCCUUCGGGUUGUAAAGCUCUUUUGUCAGGGAAGAAACGGUUGUUCCUAAUACGGAUGGCUAAUGACGGUACCUGAAGAAUAAGCACCGGCUAACUACGUGCCAGCAGCCGCGGUAAUACGUAGGGUGCAAGCGUUAAUCGGAAUUACUGGGCGUAAAGCGUGCGCAGGCGGUUAUAUAAGUCAGAUGUGAAAUCCCCGGGCUCAACCUGGGAACUGCAUUUGAGACUGUAUGGCUAGAGUGUGUCAGAGGGGGGUAGAAUUCCACGUGUAGCAGUGAAAUGCGUAGAUAUGUGGAGGAAUACCGAUGGCGAAGGCAGCCCCCUGGGAUAACACUGACGCUCAUGCACGAAAGCGUGGGGAGCAAACAGGAUUAGAUACCCUGGUAGUCCACGCCCUAAACGAUGUCUACUAGUUGUCGGGACUUAAUUGUCUUGGUAACGCAGCUAACGCGUGAAGUAGACCGCCUGGGGAGUACGGUCGCAAGAUUAAAACUCAAAGGAAUUGACGG
Molecule: ribosomal RNA, 585 nt
Filed under: uncultured bacterium
Lineage: Bacteria
Description: bacterial SSU rRNA
Rfam family: Bacterial small subunit ribosomal RNA
Source: RNAcentral